GUUAAACUUUGCUCAUCAAGAUGGUGUUUUCCCUCGUUGUUUAAGUUUUGAGGUCGCAUUAUAGGCUCAACAUGAAUUGGAAUUAUAGUAUUCUUAUAGCUGACAGAUUAGUUUGAAUCAGUUUUUUGGGGGAAUGAUGUGGUGUCUGAACCUGGACAGUAGAUGCUCUACUCCCUCCAUUUGGGUGCAUGUUAAUUAGUCUUUUACUGCUUUUAUAUAUUUGGCACUCUUCUCCGCGUACUUGAAAUUAAAUGUGAAUUGAAAUAGCUGCAUGAAAUGUCAUUCACAAUGUGAAUUCUUGUUUAAGUUUGAAUUUUGAUUCAUGUAUCAAGUAGGGAUCUCUGUUUAGAUUGUGACUUAUUCAGGUUUUGGGUGCAGGUUGAUGGCAUCAGGUGGGCAGUGUGGAAAUCCCUUCAUUUGUUAAAGCUUGAGAAAACAUUGUCUUAAGGCCUUACUGGAAAACUCCUUCGGCCAUCUUCGGCUGUUUUCAGUGUAUUGGUACACAGCGGUGGGGUGCAUGGUGGACAUUACUAGGCCUUUAUCAGGCCGAUGCUUUCCAAUCAUUGUAUGGAAAAGUUGUGCAAGCUCUAAGAAGAGGCGACCUCCGACUUCUUCGGCAUGCUUUUCAAGAGCAUGAAGACAGGUUCUUUAGGUUUGCUGUAUAUCUUGUCCUAGAGAAGCUAGAACUUCAGGUCUAUCAGAGAUUGUUGAAAAAAAGAUUUAUAUUAUCCAAAAGCAGAAGGACCCAAGAAAAGCUCACCAGCUGAAGUUGGAAGUAAUUGUCAAAGCAUUGAAAUGGUCAUUGAUGUGGAUGAGGUGGAGGGCAUAAUGGCGAUACUAAUACACAAAAGUCUGGUAAAGGGAUACUUUGCACACAAGAGUAAAGUUGUGGUUUUAAG
Long non-coding RNA from Rosa chinensis, 899 nucleotides. RefSeq lists it as uncharacterized. The transcript is spliced from 6 exons. The record is from RefSeq and is a predicted model, not a curated record. NCBI's taxonomy places the organism in Eukaryota, Viridiplantae, Streptophyta, Magnoliopsida, Rosales, Rosaceae.